Non-coding RNA from Podarcis lilfordi (Lilford's wall lizard), 82 nucleotides. The record is from the annotation of a GenBank genome assembly. NCBI's taxonomy places the organism in Eukaryota, Metazoa, Chordata, Lepidosauria, Squamata, Lacertidae.
GCACAGGUAUUCCAGCCAAGCUUGAUGGUAGAAAAUCUGCUUUGCAUGCAGAAGUUCCCAGGUUCAAUACCUGCCAUCUGCA